Long non-coding RNA from Felis catus (domestic cat), 1807 nucleotides. RefSeq lists it as uncharacterized. The transcript has 2 exons. Lineage: Eukaryota; Metazoa; Chordata; Mammalia; Carnivora; Felidae. The record is from RefSeq and is a predicted model, not a curated record.
CCGGCAGCGGCGGCUGGAGGAGCAGCCGGCGGCGCAGCGGCCGCGCAGCCUUUGUCUCGGGGCCUCGGGGCGGCGGGGCCCGGCGCAGGCAGGCCACGCGGGGACGGAAGAGGCAGAGAGGACAGGCAGUGAUGGAGAAACGGGAGAGGAGCCGGCCGGCGUCACCAUCACCAUCACCGCCACCAUCGCCUCCACCAUCACCAUCACCAUCACCACCAUCACCAUCCCCAUCCUUGCCCGUCGCCCAUCCCAGCUGCCCCGGACCUCCCCUCCCUUCUCAUCUCCCCCCUGUCACGUCAACUUUACCAGAUUAUUUCCUUUUCCUGGGUGAUACUUUGAAACGGCGACAGCGUGCUCCAAAUUAGGAAUAAGUACCUCUGCUGUGGGACAUUCGGGCGCCUCUCCUUUGCCCGUUCGCGACCUCAGUUUUCCCAUCAGGAAAAGGACCACAGGGGUGCUCCGUUCCUCACAGUCAGCCUGUGAUGGCCGGCAAGCUUUCGGUUUUUCUAACCUGGUGCCGGAAAGGGUUUUAGAGAUUACAUUUUUUUCUCUCUCAUAUGGUGAGAGAGAUGUUCAUAUGGUAAAGUGGUAUUUUCACUGGGUUAAAUAACCCGGAGUUUUCAGUUCUCCUCUCCUUUGAUUAUUGAAUGGCAAAAUGCCAGUAGCAAAUAGAAGCUAAGGAAAAUGAAACUUCGACUAAAAUCAUACCAAGAAUAGAAGCAAAACAGGUAUGUCUGUAGGAAAAUCACCCCCAAGACGGCCGAACGCGAUGACUUUCGUCUCAAGUGCAGAAAGUGCCCUUUUCGUGGGUAGCGGUUGUAGAUGUCCUUAUUUGGGAUGCAUGUAGUGGGCCCUAAGUGCUUUGCACCCUACCGGAAGAAUGUUUAAAUUGCUGUGUUUCAAAGCUGGCACUCACCUGGUCCAAGGGACUGCUGAGCCGUGGGAGCAAAUAUCAACCCAGCCAGAGGGAUUGUUGGGAAGCCCAGCCCGACAGAGCACAGGGAUCUUCUUGUGAAAAGCACCUUACAGAACACAAGAUCCUAAACGCUCUGCAUUUUGGCCCACUAGGGCGAAAAAGGAGUCUUGACCUUUCCGUGUCUUACAUUCUGGUCCGAGAAAGGCAGCUAGACGGUCCUAAAUUGCUUGGUAUGCUUGGACAGUCAGCGUGGCAAGGUUCCUGUUAAACAGGGUGAUGAGCCACAUGUGUGGUUUGCCCUGGGUCCUCUCCUACUCGGAGAAAAAGAAAAGUGACCGUCUUAACAAUAAUGUGGACCCAACUGAGCAGUUUUCGUGGCCCGAGUUAAAAUACCUCAAAUGUUGAAAUAUAAUUGUACGCCAUUAACUUAAACCUGUCUAAUUGGGGGAAAUGGGGCUUUUUAGUAUAUGUGAUUCUGUGGAGAGUGACUUUGAAGUUAUCUGCCUUGCUAAAAAUACUUCAGGGCCUCAAACUUAAGUAAGGCGGAGUCGAUUGAAAGCAGUGACAUUUUUAGAACAAAGACUUAAAGAAUUCCUUCACCGUGUUUUUAGUUCUGGAUCUUUGGGAAAUAUUAGCAUCCUAAGGAACUUCGAUGCCUUGGGUUGUUGCUGAAUUCUGGUCUUACACCCACGUGAGCUGUUUUAACCCCUGUGAAUUUUGAUAUCCCCGUAUGCAUUAUACCACAAUUUUAAAAUAAUUCAUUUCUUUUAUUGCAGUCUGAUUUAUGUAUGUGCAAUGCAUCGCUCCUUACUGUACAGCUUGGUGAAUUUUUAUCUAUGUUUACCCUAUAUUACCUCUGACCUGAACAAAAUACAAAAAAUUUUCACCAUC